Molecule: non-coding RNA, 4122 nt
Organism: Rattus norvegicus (Norway rat)
Lineage: Eukaryota; Metazoa; Chordata; Mammalia; Rodentia; Muridae
Source: RefSeq, a predicted model, not a curated record
AACAACCACAUUCACUGGGGGUUCAGUCUUGGCAGGACCAAAUUUUUAAAAGGAGAGAAAUAAUCUUUUCCAGAAAAAAAAGAAAAAGUAAAAGUCUCAAUAAAACACUCUCUAGUUUCUCUACCAAAUUCUACUAAUCUCUACCAAAUCUCUACUUGUUUCAACUAGGAUGCUAAUUUUAAAUGUAAGCAACAUAUUUUGUGAUGUUGACAUUUUAUUAAGAGAUUUCGUGUAAUUUUUUAUUGUGUGCACUCUUCCAUCAUAUUUUACAUCAUAUUUUUUAAUCGUCCAGGUACCACGGGUAUUAUCAGAAAACAUGGACCGUCGAAUACAAUAUUUACCAAACUGUCAGAUAAUAGAUUUACUGUAUCUUCUUCUUUAUUCGAUGUUUAUAUUUGUAUUAGUCUUUCCCCUACAUAUAUCCAGAUAUAUGCAUUCCUUAUUUAUAGUCUUACUAUAUAUUUUCUUAUGCAGCAUCAUACUGAGUCCUCAGAGAUUCCAUAAACUUAAUGAAUUAUUUUGUGAACGUCUACAAGAGCUCACAGUAAGACUUGAGGAUGGCUAUUGAGCCCAUAUAGGAAUGAAACUGGAAUUUGGAUGUCUCAGUAAUUAAUAGCAAUCAAUAUUUAUGGAGUGCUUACAUUGCACGAAGUCCCUGGUGAGUUCAUUUUAUUUACUUCAGACUCUCUUGUGACGGAGUGUUUAAUAAUAUUCUAUUAUUUUCACAGAAACUGAGGCUGAGGAAGAUUGCCUAUGGUUACAGAAAAAAUAUCUGCACAACUAAGAGUCCAGAGCUUAAAUGGCUGUUUACUCUAAGAAUCCAGAUUCUCUACAUUCAUUCCUGCACCUGCAUCCCUGGGCAGUUUUGCCGAGUCUGAAGUCUGCCAUUGCACCUCCUACCAAACCCGAAGGAAGGAGAGUGAUACAAUCUCAGGAGGAGUCUCCUGUGAGGUCUGUCUGCUGUAGGUGGGGUACCUGGUACAGACAAAUUACAUGGAAUUCACUAAAACAGUAAUUUAACAUUGUUGGCACAUAGCUCUUAUGGCUUUCUCAUCUUGCAAGAUGGCAGGUGAAAUUGUUAAGCAGCCAGACAGUAAAGAAAAGCUUUUUGAAGUCCAGCACUCUGCUACUCAUAGCAAAGCUACCGUGGAGCAAUUUUCAUAGCUCAACAUCAGGAAAAGGAGAAGCCUGAUGCAGUCAUAGCCUGCCCACAUAAGAGAAGUUGAAAGAUCCUGCAUAUAUGCCGUGUCCUAGAAGGAUGAUCCAAGAGGAUACAUUUAGGUACUAAUUCUGGGACUGCAGAGUAAACAGAGGAGGGUUUUGGUUCUGCCAUAAAAUCAGCCAGCAGGGAUGAGUACAGCGUAGUCUGGUGGUGAAGCAUCACAAACACCUGAUUUCGAAGAGGCACCUUGGAAGCUGAGCCGUUAAGUGCAAAAACAAACCUGCCACCACAAGUGGGAAGAUCAAGAGAAGGCAUCGUUCCCUGGCCCAUUCUCAAGGCCCUAUUUGCACUAGAGAGGCUACUGGUCAAUGAUGUGCUCUGUGUGAUGGAAUGGACUUUAUCAUCCCAGUCACUCUUUUAUAAAACAUUCCAGGGUGUGUUAUUUCCAAUUCCAGAAAAAUCAACAUCAAGCUAUGCCUGUGCAUUGAAUUGUUUCCCUUGUGUUUCCUUCCAGUGGAUUCACAUCGUCAGGUUUUACAUUAAGGUCUUUGAACAAAGUGUUUUAGAUGACUGUACGAAGUGCCCAAUGAAGCCUAUUUAAUAUAUACAAAUAAAAAUGAAAAUUCUAGAACAGCUCAUGCUUAACCUCAAGAAGAGAGAAGCUACAGAAAUGGAGGCAACGUGAAGAUGGGAAACUCUAAGUUGGCAGAGAUGAAGGGCGCACAUUUCAGAGAGAGAGAGAGAGAGAGAGAGAGAGAGAGAGAGAGAGAGAGAGAGGAGAGUACUUUUAUCGAAAACUCAAACUGUUCCACAGACACAGCACUCUGUGUCAUCUAUGCUUUUCUCCCCUCCCUAUCAAAUGAUAUUUAAUAUUACACUUGAUGACCUAAUUUUUUUUCUGAAGAACCUAAUUAAGUAAUGAAUACAUUUAAGCAAUAUGAAGAACACAGGCUAUCAUAUUAUAGCCCUCAGUUCUUGUGGGGGAAGCUUUUGUUCCUAAGUCAUAACUGUGACAUUUGAGGGAGAAGGAUAAUGAUAAGUAGGUAUCAAAAUUUUAGAAACUGCAAGGAAGGGAGAGUUAAAAUUACUGAAUUUCGUGCUACAAAAUACUGGUGAAGCAUAUUCUUUAAAAAGGUGGAUUUGAUGAUAUGUAAAUUAUGUCUCAAAAAAGAAAAGAUGUUACUGCCAAAACUAAAAAGUAGAUGAUUAGUUCCCCAGAAAGAGAAAAAACCUGAACUCUGGGUAAUGAAACAAACCGAGUUCUGAUUUUUGUAAGGCCAUUUCCCUCUUGCUCUUAAUCCUCAUCUCAUAUAUAAAUAAAUAAAGUGUAUUGAUUAGCUCAAUGCCAAAGCCCAUUCCAGUGGCAAUGUUCUGCCUUUGAAGACUUCUGUUGAGAUAGACAAGACAAAGAAAUGACUCUGUAUUACUACCUUGGGUGAGAUGGUUUUGGGGUCUGAGCCCAUUUUUACUUCUCUAAAGGUAUACACAAAUGUGCAAAGGCAUAUGGGGCCCCUUAGCUAUGAAAGACUGCCCUAAUUUACUAGGUAGGAAUCAAGACAACAUAUAUUUGAUGUUUUAGCUUGUAAUAAGUCCUCCCAAGAAAAUCUUUGUCUAUCACAAGAACAAAAUCCCACAUAAUAUUUAGAAAGGCAUGGUUUUAUUCACCUGAAUAAGGCGAUGACACCUGAAGGCUUGCUUAUUACCUCAACGCCUAAAAUAAUAAGCAUGGUGUAAUUUGAGUGAGUUAGAGAAUUUUUGUUAUAAUGCAACAAUCCUAUUGUUACUUGAUUAACUUGCUUUAAUCGCAGGCUACUAGACAGUAAACUCCUUUGAAGAACCAGCCAACCAGAAGCAUGUGACAGGUCCAACAGGUUUAUGGGUCCUUGUCAGUGGUUAUAUUUCAAUUGCCCUAAUUUUCAUCUAAGGCCACUCCAAAAGAUUGUACCUGGAUUUUGGAUGAGUUUUGGAUAGUUGGAACUGAAGAAAGACUUUAAGAAGCUGGGCCACUAUCUACUGGACAAAUGCUUGUUGUCCAGUUGUUAACAUUGGUUAUAUCUUCAGGUGAAUUUCUGUAGCCUCCUGUGACACUGCAAGUCACCCGAUGUAUAGCUGUGGCAUUUCUUCUACAAUAUACCUAUGGAGCACAUGGUCUUUGUAUCAGUGUAGUUCUUUGAUUAAUCUUUGGUGCAAAAAAAAAAAAAUAAAACCACAAAAAACCAAAACAACUACAAAUAAAACCUUUCCAAAGGAAAAGGGAAUAUUUACAUUUUCCUAAUCAAAUCAAUAGGUAAAUGUGCAUUGAAUAAAGUAAAAAAUUCAUUCACUUGCUUCAUGAGAAAUCAAACUUAUGACCAAUUUACUUUCUUAACUACCUUCUUACAAAUGUAAAUUUUACCGUCACUAAGGCCUCUCUUUGUUUCAUGCUUUGAGGAGAGUGCAGACACUGAAAAGGGAAUUGACUUUACAGAGAGUUAGAUCACCUUUUCUUAAUUUUAAACCUCAUACUGUCACCUAGGAAGGAUGUAACAGACAAAAAUUGUACAUUUACUUCAUGCUGUGUGUCGGAUGCAGUGUGAGGCACGUGCUCACAAAAGCCUGAAAGGUAGUUGGGAUUUUUUUCCUAUUCGAAUAAAGAACAGAUUGUCAGAGCCAAUUUCAAGCCAUACAAAUUUGGGGGUCCUAUAAAGCAUGUCAGUACCCUUCACCCCAAGGGACUGGGCACACUACACAGGGAUAGUAAGUAUUCUUAUCAGUGAGAACUUAGGAAAUACCUUUUGUUCUUAGAUUAAUUUUUUUCAUUGUAGGUUUCACAAAUAAAUAUUUGAAGACAAAGGAGAGAAAGGAGUAGAAUUUAAAUGGCAGCUGUUCUUCUAAUACUGCACUGGAGGACAAUCCUUUUUGCCUAGUGAAUACAACAUGGUAGGAGAUUACACGGGAGAAAUAACAAGAGAGAGAGAGAG